AGAGUCAUGGCCGAGUGGUUAAGGCAUUGGGCUAGAAAUCUGUUGGGGGUCUUCCCCAUGCAGGUUUGAAUCCUGCUGACUAUG
This 84-nucleotide transfer RNA is filed under the name Alligator mississippiensis (American alligator). It matches the Rfam family "tRNA". From Rfam's summary of the family: Transfer RNA (tRNA) molecules are approximately 80 nucleotides in length. Their secondary structure includes four short double-helical elements and three loops (D, anti-codon, and T loops). The record is from Rfam by way of RNAcentral. Lineage: Eukaryota; Metazoa; Chordata; Crocodylia; Alligatoridae.